Molecule: ribosomal RNA, 254 nt
Filed under: uncultured bacterium
Lineage: Bacteria
Description: partial 16S ribosomal RNA
Rfam family: Bacterial small subunit ribosomal RNA
Source: RNAcentral
UACGUAGGGUGCGAGCGUUGUCCGGAAUUAUUGGGCGUAAAGAGCUCGUAGGCGGUCUGUCGCGUCGGUCGUGAAAACUUGGGGCUUAACCCUGAGCUUGCGGUCGAUACGGGCAUGACUGGAGUUCGGCAGGGGAGACUGGAAUUCCUGGUGUAGCGGUGAAAUGCGCAGAUAUCAGGAGGAACACCGGUGGCGGAGGCGGGUCACUGGCCCGAUACUGACGCUGAGGCACGAAAGCGUGGGGAGCAAACAGG